GUGAGGAAUAUUGGUCAAUGGGCGCAAGCCUGAACCAGCCAAGUAGCGUGAGGGAAGACUGCCCUACGGGUUGUAAACCUCUUUUGUUUGGGAAUAAAGUGCGGGACGCGUCCCGCAUUGCAUGUACCAUUUGAAUAAGGACCGGCUAAUUCCGUGCCAGCAGCCGCGGUAAUACGGAAGGUCCGGGCGUUAUCCGGAUUUAUUGGGUUUAAAGGGAGCGCAGGCCGUGGGUUAAGCGUGUCGUGAAAUUCCGUCGCUCAACGGCGGACGUGCGGCGCGAACUGGUCCACUUGAGUACGCGGGACGUUGGCGGAAUUCGUGGUGUAGCGGUGAAAUGCUUAGAUAUCACGAAGAACUCCGAUUGCGAAGGCAGCUGACGGUAGCGCAACUGACGCUGAGGCUCGAAAGUGCGGGUAUCGAACAGGAUUAGAAACCCUAGUAGUCC
This 445-nucleotide ribosomal RNA is filed under the name uncultured bacterium. Its description in RNAcentral is "bacterial SSU rRNA". It matches the Rfam family "Bacterial small subunit ribosomal RNA", at positions 354 to 796 of the family's 1533-position model. The record is from RNAcentral.